RNAcentral lists this ribosomal RNA (484 nucleotides) under uncultured bacterium. Its description in RNAcentral is "partial 16S ribosomal RNA". It matches the Rfam family "Bacterial small subunit ribosomal RNA", at positions 30 to 507 of the family's 1533-position model. The record is from RNAcentral.
AUUGAACGCUGGCGGCAGGCCUAACACAUGCAAGUCGAGCGGAUGAAGGGAGCUUGCUCCUGGAUUCAGCGGCGGACGGGUGAGUAAUGCCUAGGAAUCUGCCUGGUAGUGGGGGAUAACGUCCGGAAACGGGCGCUAAUACAGCAUACGUCCUGAGGGUGAAAGUGGGGGAUCUUCGGACCUCACGCUAUCUGAUGAGCCUAGGUCGGAUUAGCUAGUUGGUGGGGUAAAGGCCUACCAAGGCGACGAUCCGUAACUGGUCUGAGAGGAUGAUCAGUCACACUGGAACUGAGACACGGUCCAGACUCCUACGGGAGGCAGCAGUGGGGAAUAUUGGACAAUGGGCGAAAGCCUGAUCCAGCCAUGCCGCGUGUGUGAAGAAGGUCUUCGGAUUGUAAAGCACUUUAAGUUGGGAGGAAGGGCAGUAAGUUAAUACCUUGCUGUUUUGACGUUACCAACAGAAUAAGCACCGGCUAACUUCGUG